RNA transcript from Prosopis cineraria, 3549 nucleotides. It is a transcript of the gene named serine/threonine-protein kinase STY17-like, with no coding region annotated. NCBI's taxonomy places the organism in Eukaryota, Viridiplantae, Streptophyta, Magnoliopsida, Fabales, Fabaceae. The record is from RefSeq and is a predicted model, not a curated record. The transcript has 9 exons.
CAAAGUACGCCCACAGCCUGGUUUCAGGGUUACGGUUUGGUGGGUGAUGCUAUCGAAGCGAUUAUAUUUAUAUGCACACAGAAGCCUUAUUGCGUUGUUUGGAACAAAAGAGUUGACACAAGCAAAGUAAAAUGGCCUUGUUCAAAGUCCAAGGCGACGCCUGUCCCUGCGAUGCGUAUUGUGUCCCGCCAUGGACCUUCGCUUUGUAAGACGAGAACAAAGACUCCAGUGCAAGCAAUUGACGAAUUGUCCUUUCUGCCCCCAUCUAAUUGCAUCGCGAGCCUGUUAUAUUUUCUAAUUCAAAUGAAGUCCUGCAUGAUUCAUGCGGAUAUUAAACGGCGGAAUAAUAGUCGGAAGCAGAGGCAGAAGGUUGAAGUUUAAAACGAGGUUCUUACUGGACUUAAGGAAUUGAAUGUCCGGGAGGCUGCGGUUCCUGCCUUUGCAGAUGACCUCUGGACGCAUUUCUAUCGACUUCCACCUAGGAUAUGGCAACCUUGCUGGUACCUGUAUUUGCCAAUUGAUUUGCUAGAUCUUGGCGAUAUAUCUUUUAUGCAGGGUCGUUCAGCUUCUGGUGUGAACUGUGAAUUCCAGUGAUUCUCUUCAUUCAAACACGCAAAGAAAUGUCUGUCCUCAAGAUUCUCAUAUUCCAGGCAACAUGAGGCAUGAUUUUUAAUAUUUGAAUCGCUGAAUACAUUUAUUUGGCAUUCUACAUUUCCUCUCUGUACUUUCUGCAUUAUUCGUACUUACUGCUUCUUUUUCAUGGGUUUCAUCAUCCAUCCUGCUCCAGCCUUUGGUUCCUCAGCUAACUUUGAACUUGCUCUUGAAGCAAGACAGUUUCGAAUUCGAGCUGACGGUGACAAUUUGAAAUUCUACACCCAUUAUUCCCAGUAAAACUUCGAUGAUGAUUGUAUACUUUCUAAUUCUUCUACGUAUCUGUUCUAUGACCAUCAUAUUUCCCCUCCUUUCUAAUCUCUAUUUCUGAUCGCUGUAAGAGGUGUCAUACUCAUCAUAUUAUUAUUGUGAUUGCUUACAAUACUUAUUGCUCUUUAUCGGUUUCUUGAAACUAUUAAAUGAAAUGGCAGACCAAUGCAUGAGAUCACGAUAUCAACAAACGACAUGCCAAACCUUCUAAGUCAGGAGACUGAGAAGCUUAAACAUGUGCUGACAAAAAAAAUAAUUCAGAAACUUGAGAUUCAGCCUUCCUUCAAGAAAAUCGGCAGUCAAACUGCAGAGCAAGGACAAAUCAGGAUCAAUGAAUCUACCUUUAAGUGGAAGUGCUGCCUGGGAAAUUGAUGCAAGCUGUUUGAAAUAUGAAAGAAAAAUUGCAUCCGGACCUUUCUCUAAUUUGUAUAAAGGUGCUUUCUGUAACCAAGAAGUGGCUUUCAAAGUUCCCAAGGCUGAGAAUCUGAAUGAAAGUAUACAAAAGGACUUUGCUCAAGAGGUCUAUAUUCUGAGAGUGAAAUAUAUAAUCAGUAGCCUAUUGAUGGGAAUGCUGAUGGUUCUCGUUUAUAAAUUGAAUCUUGCGGUGAAGUGUGUCACAAGAAUGUUGUCAAAUUUGUGGGGGCCAGCACAAAACCUCCAGACCUGUUCAAUGUCACAGAAUACAUAUUUGGUGGAAGUCCGUAUGAGUUUCUGCACGUACAGAAGGCUGUACUGACUCUCCCAUCGUUGCUCAUAGUAGUAAUCAAUGUUGGUGAAUGAAUGAAUUAUUUGUAUCAGAAUGACAUCAUACAUAGGGAACUCAAAACUGCAAAUCUUCUGAUGGAUGAGAACAGGGUAAUAGGUUAUAUUUUGUGCCACCUACUUUGAGAUUUGCUUAGGUUUUUUAUGUCUAUUAGUGAUUACUUGAACAUUCUAGCAAGGUUGCUGAUUUUGGCGUAGCAAGAGUGGAAGAUCAGUCAGGCAUUGUGACUGCAGAAACUGGAACCUAUAGAUGGAUGGCUCCAGAGGGUAAUGACAAUGUUGAAGAUUUUUUGGUAAAAUGUGUUGAAGCAUUCUAAAUAGAAGACAAGAGUGGACUGCAAGGGUUUGACCUUCCUCUCAGAAUUCAUUCUUUUCGGUUGGUUGAACCCAAAACUUACAUCGCUUUGACCCUAGCAUGUUCCACGUGGUUGCAAGGAAGAAGGAAGUGAUAUACUGUUGCUUUUACCUCACAAUAGGUCGAUUAUUAUAACCUGUGAUUCGGUUGAUAUUUGGAAGUUUAUUGAACAUAAACCAUAUAAUCACAAAGCCGAUGUGUUCAGCUUUGGAAUUACUCUGUAGGAGCUGCUCACGUGAAAGGUAAUGCUCUUUGUAUAUCUUCCCCCAUUCUUGUUUUCUUGUUCACGUUGUAAAACUGCCUUCCCUCAUCCUUCUUCAAAAGAGAAGUGGCAGAAUGGUUACUUGAUCACAUUCAAAGCUUUUUUUCCGGUUAUGUCGAGCAAGCUUCGUGACAGACAUGGACUUAUAUAAACAAGGCCAUCCUGGGUUGCUUUCGAAAUUUAAAACUAAAAAUAUAUAUAGCUUAGAUAUUACCCUUAGAUUUCAGCAGGGUUGUAGUCUGGCAAAGUAUUUCGCGGUAUGACUUCCUAGUAAUGGAGCUCAAGAUGAGCUCAGUCUAGCCUUGAGGUUGCCCACACAUAGAUUCAACCGCACUUGGAUUAUUUCCUGAAAGUGAAGCAAGUAGAGGGAGGUUUCCUGCCAAUGUUUAUAUACAUGUAAAUUACAUGUCAAUUUUGAAACUCAUUUUGGGUUCAAUCCCAUUUUAAAUUAAUAGUUGCAACAACAAAAGAGAGUUGAACUGGGCAAAGUGAUUAAAAAUGGAUUUAAAGUAACGAAAAGGGCCACGGGAGAGGAAGGAGGUGUAUUUGAGAUGCUUGUUAUUGUGCUGUUUCCACUUUCCAAUUAGAUAGGGUCGGACAGAUUUACGAGUCCUAUUAUGCAUGGUUUUUGGACUGAAGCGGCUUCGUUGCGAGCAUUUGUCACCAUUGCAAGCAGCAGUUGGAGUGGUCCGGAAGGGUUUGAGGCCCGAAAUUCCGAGGCAUACGCAUCCAGGGAUAGCAGAGUUGCUUAACCGUUGCUGGCACCAAGACCCUUCCUUGAGACCUGAAUUCUCGGAGAUUCUGGAAUUUCUGCACCAUUUCUCCCGCAAAGUAUGUGGAGACGUUUUUUUUUUUUUUGACCACCAGCAGAAAAUGCAUCCAUUCAAAGGCAAAAGGCCAGAGUUUACAAACCGAAACAAGAACAAAGACAAGGCAAAUCAAAGAAACAAGAGAAGUCAUAAGCCCAAAGGCAAAGACUUGAGAAGAAAACACAGCACAGGAAAUAAACAAAGACCAAUUAGCCGAUGCCUUCAUGAUCCCUGUGGAUCACUGGUUGUUGGAAGAAUUGCUUGGAAUUGCCUGAAUCUUUAAGUAAAAUAGCUAAAAGAGGGGUGGAGGGUCGAGAAUCCAACCACCUGAGUCUACACCCUUUAAAGAGGAGGCUGCUAACCAGUCAGUAGCAGAGUUACCUUCUCGUUUGACAAACAAGAAAGAAAUAGAGUUCAAGGAAUCAAGCUUAACAAACAAA